GCCGGUGGAGGGUCGGCAAGAGUGGGAGCAAGAGAACGGAGAGGGAAAGGGGUGCCGUGAUUGGAUGAUAAUGGGAGAAUGGAAGGGGAUAAGGCUUGCAUGGGGUCUGCAUGUGUGGAUGGGGAGAGAGGGCUACCCCUUUAGUAUCGGGUGGAGACUUCACCCGGUACUAAAGGUCACCCAUUAGUAUCGGGUGAAGCCUUCACCCGGUACUAAAGAACCUUAGGCACAUUAGUACCGAUUGGAGGCUUCAACCGGUACUAAUGGGUGACCUUUAGUAUCGGGGAAGCCUCCACCCGGUAUUAAAGGGGGUCAUGGCGGGUUCCUCGGGGACUAGCCGUUAGGUCCGGUACUAAUGCUCACAUUAAUACUAGGCCAAAAUGCAACCGGCACU
RNAcentral lists this long non-coding RNA (394 nucleotides) under Setaria viridis. RNAcentral's name for it is "long non-coding RNA (SVIR_LNC002460)". The record is from RNAcentral. Lineage: Eukaryota; Viridiplantae; Streptophyta; Magnoliopsida; Poales; Poaceae.